GAUGGACGCUAGCGGCGUGCCUAAUACAUGCAAGUCGAGCGAACGGACGAGAAGCUUGCUUCUCUGAUGUUAGCGGCGGACGGGUGAGUAACACGUGGAUAACCUACCUAUAAGACUGGGAUAACUUCGGGAAACCGGAGCUAAUACCGGAUAAUAUUUUGAACCGCAUGGUUCAGAAGUGAAAGACGGUCUUGCUGUCACUUAUAGAUGGAUCCGCGCUGCAUUAGCUAGUUGGUAAGGUAACGGCUUACCAAGGCAACGAUGCAUAGCCGACCUGAGAGGGUGAUCGGCCACACUGGAACUGAGACACGGUCCAGACUCCUACGGGAGGCAGCAGUAGGGAAUCUUCCGCAAUGGGCGAAAGCCUGACGGAGCAACGCCGCGUGAGUGAUGAGGGUCUUCGGAUCGUAAAACUCUGUUAUUAGGGAAGAACAUAUGUGUAAGUAACUGUGCACAUCUUGACGGUACCUAAUCAGAAAGCCACGGCUAACUACGUG
Molecule: ribosomal RNA, 497 nt
Filed under: uncultured bacterium
Lineage: Bacteria
Description: partial 16S ribosomal RNA
Rfam family: Bacterial small subunit ribosomal RNA
Source: RNAcentral